UUCCUGGUGGUCCAGUGGUUAAGACUCUGCACUUCCAAUGCAGUGUGCUCGGGUUCAAUCUCUGGUUGGGGAG
RNAcentral lists this transfer RNA (73 nucleotides) under Ovis aries (sheep). It matches the Rfam family "tRNA". From Rfam's summary of the family: Transfer RNA (tRNA) molecules are approximately 80 nucleotides in length. Their secondary structure includes four short double-helical elements and three loops (D, anti-codon, and T loops). The record is from Rfam by way of RNAcentral. Lineage: Eukaryota; Metazoa; Chordata; Mammalia; Artiodactyla; Bovidae.